GAUGAACGCUGACAGAAUGCUUAACACAUGCAAGUCUACCAAGAAUCACUUCGGUGAGGAAUGGUGGCGGACGGGUGAGUAACGCGUAAAUAAUCUGCCCUUUAGACUGGGAUAUCCUUUGGAAACGAAGGUUAAUACCGGAUAUUAUGAGAUGGACGCAUGUUCAACUGAUGAAAGCUAAAUGCACUAGAGGAGGAGUUUGCGUCCCAUUAGCUAGUUGGUGAGGGAAAGGCUCACCAAGGCAACGAUGGGUAGCCGGCCGGAGAGGGUGAACGGCCACAAGGGAACUGAGACACGGUCCUUACUCCUACGGGAGGCAGCAGUGGGGAAUAUUGGACAAUGGACCAAAAGUCUGAUCCAGCAAUUCUGUGUGCACGAUGAAGGUCUUCUUAUGGUAAAGUGCUUUCAGUAGGGAAGAAAAAAAUGACGGUACCUACAGAAGAAGCGACGGCUAAAUAUGUGCCAGCAGCCGCCGUAA
RNAcentral lists this ribosomal RNA (478 nucleotides) under uncultured bacterium. RNAcentral describes it as "partial 16S ribosomal RNA". It matches the Rfam family "Bacterial small subunit ribosomal RNA", at positions 28 to 523 of the family's 1533-position model. The record is from RNAcentral.